GCGCGGGUGCUGUAAUGGUAGCCAGGCCACCUUGAGGUGGUGGUGGGGGCAACCCCGUGGAGGUUCAAGUCCUCUCCCGCGCACCA
RNAcentral lists this transfer RNA (86 nucleotides) under bacterium. RNAcentral describes it as "tRNA-Leu". It matches the Rfam family "tRNA". Rfam says of the family: Transfer RNA (tRNA) molecules are approximately 80 nucleotides in length. The record is from RNAcentral. RNAcentral also lists the same sequence under 1 other name.